This 253-nucleotide ribosomal RNA is filed under the name uncultured bacterium. RNAcentral describes it as "partial 16S ribosomal RNA". It matches the Rfam family "Bacterial small subunit ribosomal RNA", at positions 524 to 776 of the family's 1533-position model. The record is from RNAcentral.
UACGAGUGCCCCGAGCGUUAUCCGGAAUCAUUGGGCGUAAAGGGUGCGCAGGUGGGUUUGCAAGUUCGAUGUGAAAGCCCCGGGCUUAACCCGGGAAUGGCAUUGGAUACUGCAGAUCUGGAGGAUCGGAGGGGGGACUGGAAUUCUUGGUGUAGCAGUGAAAUGCGUAGAUAUCAAGAGGAACACCAGUGGCGAAGGCGAGUCCCUGGACGAUACCUGACACUGAGGCACGAAAGCCGGGGGAGCAAACAGG